RNAcentral lists this ribosomal RNA (587 nucleotides) under uncultured bacterium. RNAcentral's name for it is "bacterial SSU rRNA". It matches the Rfam family "Bacterial small subunit ribosomal RNA", at positions 338 to 945 of the family's 1533-position model. The record is from RNAcentral.
CCUACGGGAGGCAGCAGUGGGGAAUCUUGCGCAAUGGGGGCAACCCUGACGCAGCCAUGCCGCGUGAAUGAUGAAGGCCUUAGGGUUGUAAAGUUCUUUUGCCCGUGACGAUGAUGACGGUAACGGGAGAAUAAGCUCCGGCUAACUUCGUGCCAGCAGCCGCGGUAAUACGAAGGGGGCUAGCGUUGUUCGGAAUUACUGGGCGUAAAGCGCGCGCAGGCGGUUCGAUAAGUUAGGGGUGAAAUCCCUGGGCUCAACCCAGGAAUGGCCUUUAAGACUGUCGAGCUAGAGGACGAGAGAGGUGAGUGGAAUUCCCAGUGUAGAGGUGAAAUUCGUAGAUAUUGGGAAGAACACCGGUGGCGAAGGCGGCUCACUGGCUCGUUUCUGACGCUGAGGCGCGAAAGCGUGGGGAGCAAACAGGAUUAGAUACCCUGGUAGUCCACGCCCUAAACGAUGAGUGCCAGGUGUCGGGAAGCUUAGCUUCUCGGCGCCGCAGCUAACGCCUUAAGCACUCCGCCUGGGGAGUACGGCCGCAGGUAAACUCAAAGGAAUUGACGGCUGNGAGNGCGAGACGACGACGAGGAGAG